RNAcentral lists this ribosomal RNA (865 nucleotides) under Orcula fuchsi. RNAcentral's name for it is "partial 16S ribosomal RNA". Lineage: Eukaryota; Metazoa; Mollusca; Gastropoda; Stylommatophora; Orculidae. The record is from RNAcentral.
UAUAUUAAUUAUAUAAUUCUUCCCGAAAAAAAUAGAUCUACACUUUCUUAUUUUUAUUUUAGAAAAAUCUUUUUAAAUAAUGUUGCAUCAUUAUAAAAUAAAGUAGUGUAGGGGUGAAAUGCUUUCAAUUUUUUAGAUAUCUGGAUUAAACUUAAAUGAAUUUAGUUCAUAAAAUAACCAUAAAGUUGUAAGAUUUUAUGGGGGUAGAAUUUAAUAUAUUUUCUCUAGUACGAAAUAAAGUUUCAAGUUAAACUAAUAGAAAUAUAAUUUUUGUAUACAUUAAUCUAGCACAUAUUAAGUUUAUAUUUAAGAAAAUAUUACAUCUUAGCCAAAUAAUGUUAAAAUUAGUAAAAAUAUAAGAGUUAAACUGAAGGAACUCGGCAAAUAUGGUCUCCAACUAGUUUACCAAAAACAUAGCUUUAAGAAAAUUAUUUAAAGUUAAAUCUGCCCAGUGAUGAUUUUAACGGCCGCAGUACAUUGACUGUGCUAAGGUAGCAUAAUAAAUUGACUUUUAAAUGGAGUCGGGUAUGAAUGGAUUAUUGAAGACUUUCUGUCUCAUUUGUUUAUUAAAUUUAAUUUACUUAAAAGGUGAAAAUUCCUUUAUUUAUAUAUGAUAGACGAGAAGACCCUAAGAAUUAUAAUUAAGAAAAGAGUGUAGCUUUUAAAAAUUUUUGUUGGGGCAACAAGUUCGGCUAAACCGAUCUAAUACAUACAUUUUUACAUAAAAAUGAGUUUUAAAGAUGAUAUUAAUUACCUUAGGGAUAACAGCAUAAUUAUUUUAAUAGAUUGUGACCUCGAUGUUGGACUAAGGACUUUGAUUAAAUAGCCUUUAAUAAAGAUAGUUCUGUUCGAACUGAAAACCUUA